AUUUGCAGAGCGGGUUCCGCCGGGGAGGAGAACUCGCGUGCUUGGUGCAGAGGCGAACGCAGCCUGCGGGGCGCGGCCCAGGGGCGCGUCGUGGAGCCUCCAGAAGGCGAUCGUGGGAUUUAGAAACCUCUCCCGGGGCUCCCACGGGAGGAGGCUGACCCCGGGCCGGCACGCGAUCGCGGGAUGGGCGGGGGUUGUAGUAAGGCGCUGGGCCGGGCCGCCAUCGGCGGGGCACUGGCUGCGUCUGUGUGCAGGCGCCGCACGGGCUCAUCCGCUUACACUGAAUUGUAUUACUCUAUUUCUCCCACCCAGGAAAUGAACCACAUCCCCCAGCGACCGGACGGAAGCACGCACUAGCUCCGUUCUCCCGGGGAGAGUUUGCAGUGACUUGAGCUUGGGUGGCCCAGGUCAUUUGACUGGAAGAUGUGUCUGCGUGCACUGAAUGAGGAUCUGGCCCUACUGUGUGCUCCUGGACCUGUUGGGUUUGACUCUUGAUUUCUUUUUUGGGUGUUCACUGGCUGAGGACGGCUGUGCACGGUGGCUAUAAAUAAAAACGGAGCUUGACCUCA
This 569-nucleotide long non-coding RNA is filed under the name Mus pahari (shrew mouse). RNAcentral's name for it is "lncRNA (MGP_PahariEiJ_G0004685.1)". Lineage: Eukaryota; Metazoa; Chordata; Mammalia; Rodentia; Muridae. The record is from RNAcentral.